RNAcentral lists this unclassified non-coding RNA (2172 nucleotides) under Apis dorsata (giant honeybee). RNAcentral's name for it is "atypical kinase COQ8B, mitochondrial, transcript variant X7". The record is from RNAcentral. Lineage: Eukaryota; Metazoa; Arthropoda; Insecta; Hymenoptera; Apidae.
UAAAAGACAAACAUAAUGAAAAUGUCUCAACAUCGAAUGUCUGAUGUCAUUGGUAUAUUUAAAGGAGCUAAAACAGUAGCUGAUGCUAUGCUUAAAUAUCAAGAAGAGACAAUUACACAUUUAAUACAGACUUCAUCUUUAAAAAUUACUGCAGAGAGAUGUCUGACAAAUAAUUUAAAAACAUUGAAUAAUAUAGAACCAAGUAAGGUUCCUCUUCAAAUAACAAAAGAAUUUAAAGAAAUUGUAGAACGAUUAAAUGUUAUUGAAAAGGGUAUAAUAGAAUUUAUAAAAUUAAAAACUAAAGAAAUCACAGGAUUGUCAUUAGAUGUUGAGAUACCGAUAAAAACUAAAAAAACUAAAUUAUAUAUUUAUAAUCUUGCUAAAGAUCCAAAAGAAAUAACAAUAGAAAUGGAUAUUUCAAAAAUGAAAUAUAAUUCUGAAAAUAAUUACACAAAUGAAGAUACACAGGAUAAACCUAUGAAAAAAUAUUUAACUGUAAAAGAAAAAAUUGAAACCAUUUCCAAAUUAGAAAAUGAAAUACCUAAAAUUGUACUUUCUGAAAAAGAUAAAGCAAUAUUGAAGAAAUUAGAAUUAGAACAUGAAAAAAAUAUAAAAAGUCAAAACAUAAAACAAGAUAUAUCAAAUGAAUCAAAAAUUGAUGCUGAAGUUAUUAAAAUAGAAAAUAAAAAAAUAACUUCAAAUAAUUCUCAAGUUAAAUUAAAACCAUCUGUUAGACCAAAAAAAACUCUUUCACCUAAUGCAAAAGCUCAAAAAGUUCCAGCUACCAGAUUACAAAGAAUGAUGAGCUUUGGAACAUUAGGAAUUGGACUUGGUGUUGGAACUGUUGCAGAAUACACACGCAGAACAUUUGGAUUAAAAAAACAAAGUCUUGGAAACACAUUUGAUACUCUUUUUCUUACUAAAGCAAAUGCAGAAAGAAUAGUUUCUACUUUAUGUAAAGUAAGAGGUGCUGCUUUAAAAAUUGGACAAAUUUUAAGUAUACAAGAUGAAACCAUUAUAAGUCCUGAAUUACAAAAAGUAUUUGAACGAGUUAGACAAAGUGCAGAUUUCAUGCCAACAUGGCAAGUUGAGAAAGUAUUAAGUACUGAACUUGGACAUGAUUGGAGAACUAAAUUAAGUACUUUUGAAGAUAAACCAUUUGCUGCAGCUUCUAUUGGUCAAGUACAUCAUGGUACUUUGUUAAAUGGACAGGAUGUUGCAAUUAAAAUUCAAUAUCCUGGUGUAGCUAUGGGUAUUCAAAGUGAUGUUGAAAAUUUAAUAGGCAUAAUGAAGGUUUGGAAUAUUUUUCCAAAAGGUAUGUUUAUAGAUAAUUUAGUAGAAGUUGCAAAACGUGAACUUGCAUGGGAAGUGGAUUAUAUCAGAGAAGCAGAAUGUACUAGAAAAUAUAAAAAAUUAAUGGAACCUUAUUCAAAUUAUUAUGUUCCAACUGUAAUUGAUGAACUGUCAACAAAUCAAAUUUUUACAACUGAAAUGGUAGAAGGAAUUCCAGUAGAUAAAUGUACUACUAUGGAUAUGGAUACAAAGGAACAUAUCUGUAAAUUAAUAAUGAAUUUGUGCCUUAAGGAAUUAUUUGUUUUUCGAUAUAUGCAAACUGAUCCAAAUUGGUCUAAUUUUCUUUACAAUACUAAUACAAGACAAGUAUAUAAGAUAUUAUUAAGAAUUAAUAUUAUUAGAUUUUGGUGCAUGUCGAGAUUAUGAGAAAUCAUUUAUGGAUAAAUAUAUUGAAGUAAUUUAUGCUGCAAGUGAAGGUGAUCGUAAAAAAAUUUUAAAUUUAUCUAGAGACAUGGGAUUUCUUACAGGAUAUGAAUCUAAACUUAUGGAAGAAGCUCAUGUAGAUGCAGUAAUGGUUUUGGGACAAGUAUUUGAUAAAAAUUAUAAAUACUAUGACUUUGGUGGACAAGAUGUAACUAAAAGAAUUCAAACAUUAGUUCCAACAAUAAUAGAUCACAGGUUAUGCCCUCCACCUGAAGAAAUUUAUAGUUUACAUAGAAAAUUAUCAGGAAUUUUUUUACUAUGUGCCAAACUUCAAGUUAAAAUAAAUUGUCGCGAUAUGUUUCGCGAAGUUUAUGCAAAUUAUAAAUUUGGAUAAUAUCAUUAUAAAUUAAUAUUUAUAUUUUAUAUAUAAUUAAUUAAAUAUAAACAUAAUUUCAA